GCAACUGCGGCUGCGUCCCUCUCCCUCUGCACUGCCCUCAAUUAUCUGUGUGAGAGAGAGUGGAGGGCAGGCCAAAUAAAGCCAUAGGUGCUGCUGGGAGAGGAGUGCGUGUUAGCAUGCUAUAAAUACUUGAUGCAUCUGGAGUUUCAGGGUUGGCUACUGUCUGGGUCUCAGCAGACCAGAUCACAGGCUCUAUGUUGAUCUAGUGAUUUAUAGAAUUAUUGAUUUAUUGGACUGGGACAGGGAUUGGACCAUCCUGGAGGUGACAGGCCAUCAUGCCUAGGAUAGACGUGGAUGUGAAGCUGGACUUUAAAGAUGUCCUGUUCAGACCCAAGAGAAGCAGCCUGAAGAGCAGGUCAGAGCAAACUCUCUUCACCGCCAUGCAGAAGCACUACACUGUGGAGCAGUGGAAGGCUUUUGCAGCCAAGUUUCCAGAAUGUUUGGAGCACAUAGCGGUCAGCUCAGGCAGCGGUCAAGCCGACCUGGAGAAGCUGUGCAGCGUCCUGAAGGCCGUCUCUGACAUCAGAUUCAUCUGUCUGGACGUGGCCAACGGCUACUCUGAACACUUUGUGGAGUUUGUCAAAACCGUCAGGGGGAGGUUUCCCCAACACACUAUCAUGGUGAGGCCGUUCCAUCAAGUUAACACAGCUGAACAGCUUUUGAAGACUUCAUUUGCUUAUGUCGUUUUAAUUACUGUAAAUAUUCUUACAUGUGCAAUGUGAUGUGCCAUGCAAUGUUAAACUAUCACCUGUUUGGUAGUUAGUUGGUUUGGUAGCUGUAUAGGUAUUCUAAAUGCUAUGACUAUGUCUGCCUGUCCGUCUGUCCGUCUGUCCGUCUGUCCGUCUGUCCGUCUGUCCGUCUGUGUGUCUCUAACUGUGGUCAGGCUGGCAACGUGGUGACAGGAGAGAUGGUGGAGGAGCUGAUCCUGGCAGGAGCUGACAUCAUUAAAGUGGGUAUUGGGCCAGGUGGGUCUGUUACUCUGGUACACUGUUACUCUGUCUGUUACUCUGGUGCUCCGUCUGUUACUCUGUCGGUUACUCUGUCGGUUACUCUGCCUGUUACUCUCUGUUGCUCUGUUACCCUGUCUGUUGCUCUGUCUGUUACUCUAUGGUACCCUCUAUGUUACUCUGUUACUCUGUCUGUUACUCUGUUACUCUGUCUGUUACUCUCUGUUACUCUGUCAGCCACUCUGUCUGUUACUCUGUUACUGUCUGUUACUCUGGGACUUUGUCUGUUGCUCUCUGUUACCCGGUUAUUCUGUCAGUUGCUCUGUCUGUUACUUUGUCAGUUGCUCUGGGUGUUACUCUGCUACUUUGUUACUGUCUGUUACUCUAUUACUAUGUAUGUUACUCUCUGUUACUCUGUCAGUUACUCUGUCUGUUACUCUGUUACUCUGUCUGGUGCUCUAUUACUAUGUAUGUUACUCUCUGUUACUCUGUCAGUUACUCUGUCUGUUACUCUAUUACUAUGUAUGUUACUCUCUGUUACUCUGUCAGUUACUCUGUCUGUUACUCUGUUACUCUGUCGGUUACUCUCUUACUCUGUCUGGUACUCUGUUUGUUACUCUCUGUUACUCUGUCGGUUACUCUGUCGGUUACUCUCUUACUCUGCCUGUUACUCUGUUUGUUACUCUCUGUUACUCUGUCGGUUACUCUGUCGGUUACUCUCUUACUCUGUCUGUUACUCUGUUUGUUACUCUCUGUUACUCUGUCGGUUACUCUGUCGGUUACUCAGUUAUUCUGUCAGGUACUCUGUCUGUUACUCUGCUACUGUGUCUGUUACUCUGUUAAUCUGUCUGGUACUCUGUCUGUUACUCUGUUACUGUGUAUGUUACUCUGGUACUCCAUCGGUUACUCUCUGUUACUCUGUUGGUUACUCUGUCUGUUACUCUCUGCUACUCUGUUACACUGUUACUAUGUCUGGUACUCUAUCACUCCGUCUGUUACUCUCUGUUACUCUGCCGGUUACUCUGUCUGUUACUCUGUUACUCUGUCUGCUACUCUGGUACUCCGUCUGUUACUCUGUUACUCUGUCUGUUACUCUGGUACUCUGUUACUCUGUCUGUUACUCUGGUACUCCAUCGGUUACUCUGUCUGUUACUAUGUUACUCUGUUACUCUGUCUGUUGCUCCGGUACUCUGUUACUCUAUUACUCCGUCUGUUACUCUGUCGGUUAGUCUGUUACUCUGUCUGUUGCUCUGUUGGUUACUCUGUUACUCUGUUGGUUACUAUGUUACUCUGUAUGUUACUCUGUCACUCUGUAUGUUACUCUGUAUGUUACUCUGUCUGUUACUCUGUCUAUUACUCUGUUAUUCUGUCUGUUGAUCUGUCGGUUACUCUGUUACUCUGUCUGUUACUCUGUCUGUUACUCUGUUACUCUGUUACUAUGUAUGUUACUCAGUUGGUUACUCUGUUACUCUGUCUGUUACUCUGUCUGUUACUCUGUUACUCUGGUACUCUGGUACUCUGUCUGUUACUCAGUUGGUUACUCUGUCUGUUACUCUGUCUGUCACUCCGGUACUCUGUUACUCUGUCUGUUACUCUGUUACUCUGUCUGUUAUUCUGUUACUUUGUCUGUUACUCUGUUACUUUGUCUGUUACUCUGUUACUCUGUCAGUUACUCUGUCGGUUACUCUGUUACCAUGUCUGUUAUACGGUCUGUUAUAAGGUCUGUUACCCUGUCUGUUAUUCUGUUACUCUGUCUGAUACUCUGUCUGUUACUCCGUUACUCUGUCGGUUACUCUGUUGGUUACUCUGUCUGUUACUCUGUCUGUUACCCUGUCUGUUAUUCUGUCUAUUACCCUGUCUGUUGCACUGGCUGUUACCCUGCCUGUUACUCUGUCUGUUACUCUGUCUGUUGUUCUGUUACUUUAUAUGUUACUCUGUUACUCUGUCUGUUAAUCUGUCUGUUACUCUGAUACUCUGUUGGUUACUCCGUUGGUUACUCUGUCUGUUACUCUGUUACCCUGUCUGUUACCCUGUCUGUUACCCUGUCUGUUACCCUGUCUGUUACACUGUCUGUUACACGGUCUGUUACUCUGUCUGUUACUCUGUCUGUUACUCUGUUACCCUGUCUGUUAUACUGUUUGUUACACUGUCUGUUACACUGUCUGUUACACUGUCUGUUGCCCUGUCUGUUACUCUGUCUGUUACUCCGUCUGUUACUCUAGCACCCUCUUCCCUACAUAGUGCACUAUAAGUAGAGCACUAUAUGGAGUCAUGAGUUCACCAGGGCUCCCUUCAAGAGAGAAAAAUACUUCAGCUGAGUGCAUUCAGCUCCUGACAAACUGACACGUCAUGAUUCCCCUCUAGGUUCUGUGUGUACGACGCGUAUUAAGACGGGAGUGGGAUACCCCCAGCUCAGUGCUGUCAUAGAGUGUGCAGACUCCGCCCACGGCCUGAAGGGUCACAUCAUCUCAGAUGGCGGAUGCAGCUGUCCUGGCGAUGUGGCUAAGGCAUUUGGCGCUGGAGCUGAUUUUGUGAUGCUGGGGGGCAUGCUGGCUGGCCACGACCAGUGUGCCGGGGAGGUCAUUGAGAGGAAUGGCAGAAAGGUCAAGCUGUUCUAUGGGAUGAGCUCUGACACGGCCAUGAAGAAACAUGUAGGGGGAGUGGCAGAGUACAGAGCGUCAGAGGGCAGGACGGUGGAGGUACCGUACAGGGGGGAUGUAGAGGCCACCAUCAGGGACAUUCUGGGUGGUCUGCGCUCCACCUGCACCUACGUAGGAGCUGCCAAACUGAAGGAGCUCAGUCGCAGGACCACCUUUAUCAGAGUCACACAGCAGGCCAGCCACAUGUUCACAUAGUAGUAAAUAGACGGAGGGACGGACAGACAGACAGCCAUGAUCUUUCUUGUGGCUGUUUAGAACUUCACAUCCUAAUGCCUGAUUUCAAUUGUGCUGAUUUAAUUUAAAAUGUAAAAGUUUGAAUCUACAACAAUAUUUAUGUAAAUGCAUGUGUUACUUUCCCUGUACACAGUAGACAGAAAGAGGAGAAACAGAGAAAUACCAACCUGGACUCAGGGGUAGACAUAGUAAACUUAUAUCCGUGACACUCCAAUUAGUAUGAUAUGUAACGUUUGGCAUGGUUUUCAUUUGUGGAUGUCCAUCUUUCAUUUCGUCGGAUAUGUUACGAAUUACAAUAUGUUACGAAUUUGCAAAGGUAUGAUAUGUUAUGAAUUCUAAUUUGUUGAGGCUAAGGUUAUCUAGGUGUCUAGGUGGCUAACGCUAAUGUUAGCUAGGUGGCUAAUGUUAACCAGGUUAGGGGUUAAGGUUAGGAGUUAGGUUAGGGUAUGGGUUAGCUAAUAUGCUAAGUAGUUGCAAAAAAUUGGUAAGUAGUUUCAAAGUUGCUAAUUAGCUAAAAUGAUAAAAUUGUCUGUGAUGUUAUUCAAACUCACAGCCUUUGGGUUGCUUGAUGUUCAUGUUUUACACCUACCCAUCCACCCUGUCCAAACAUCCUACUUUUGUUUUUUGCCUUAAGUAACCUUCUGUCUUAUGUAACCAAAUGUAACAUAUCAUACUAAAUUGAAUCUUUCAGAAUUUGGAUUUACAUUUACUAUGUUACGUGUAGUCUAUGAGACCAGGCUGGAAAAACAGAGUGCUAGAGUAAGCAGCUGCUCUGUUGCUCCUCUUGAAAGAUGGAUGAAAGACAGAUGAGCCAGUUGAUAGACAGAAUUUCAGUUGACUCUGUUAUUUAUUAUUCUGAGUAUACAGAGACAAUACAUUUGUUCAUGUUCUUUUGUGUUUCUUUAAACAAAUUUGUUCAAAUCUAAAUGAAAUGUUAAAAAAAAUUACAACUGAAAUAUUUUGUCCAUAAACCUGGAAAAACUCUCCUAAGAAAGAGACCAUAGAUCAUACAGAACAGAUUGGAGUAUAUCCUACAAAUUAAACCGUAAUACCACAGUUAGAAAAGCAACUUUGAAGUCUUCUAGUCCUCUUGUUUCCUGUCUCCUGUUGUACAUAAAUGUAUCUUACAUAUGAGGUACACAAAAAAGUUAUUUCACAACCUUUCUUGGGGGUUGCGGACCAAUGCAUGAACAUUUUUUAAAUUACAGAUUGUACAAUAAUAACAAUGAUCCUAUUUUGUAUAAUAUCUACAACAAUGUUUAUAUUUUAGCACAUACAUAUCUCAGGAAAAAACAGUCAAUGGGCGGUGUCUGUUUCUCUGCCAGUUCACCUGAUUAUUGGCAAGAUGCAAACAACAGUCUAAUAAUCUCUAUUCAUUCUAUUCUCUGUCUCUCUCUCUCCCUCCUCUCUCUCCCUCCUCUCUCUCUCUCCUCUCAAUGAAUUUGAAAAUAUCCAAUUGCUUUCUUUGAUGAUAAACAGUUUUAUGAUAAUCACACACACACACACACACACACACACACACACACACAAUUCCUGAGUUCUGUAAAAUACUUUAUUUUGGCUAUAAGAAAAUAUAUAUAAUUUUAAACUGAAAGAAAAGAGAGACACCUGUGAGAAUUCAGUCUAAAGUAAGACAGGUACACAUGAGUGGGUAGUGAGGCCAGGUAGUUACAGAAUGUAGAGUAAUGUCCACAUUCAUGUGCACAGGUUCAUCUACUGCUGAACCUAUGGCACUGGUCCAUAAUCACUGAUGAUCUUGACUCUAGCUUUUUCACUUGACAGUACCAUGAUUACUCUGAUUUGCCUGAAUUAAAAGUAUGAAAAUAUACAUUUUAAUGAUUCAUGUCACGUGAAGAUACAAUGUAUUCUCAGGUGACAUAUUGCAAGUUGAGGUUUGAGUUUUACAUGGGAUGUCAUUCAUACAAAUAACUGAUGAAAGUGAAUCAGAGACAUUUUAGAGGGUCAUCGGUCUGUAAUGAUUUAACAUGGAAAAACACCAAUCUAUAAUUCAGGUAUUGCACAUACAACACAUACAACCCAAUUACAACUAAGUUAAUUGGACAGGUUCACUAUAGCUGUAGUUCAAUGUCAGUGGCUCUCCCUCCACCACUUUACAGUGUAAAACAUUGUAAAACAACGUCCAGAAGAACCACUGUAAAACGUUGUAUAACGUCCAGAAGAACCACUGUAAAACGUUGUAUAACGUCCAGAAGAACCACUGUAAAAUGUUGUAUAACGUCCAGAAGAACCACUGUAAAACGUUGUAUAACAUCCAGAAGAACCACUGUAAAACGUUGUAUAACGUCCAGAAGAACCACUGUAAAACGUUGUAUAACGUCCAGAAGAACCACUGUAAAACGUUGUAUAACAUCCAGAAGAACCACUGUAAAACGUUGUAUAACGUCCAGAAGAACCACUGUAAAACGUAGUAUAACGUCCAGAAGAACCACAGAAAGCCCCCGAUAAAAGGUGAAGUAGAACUCACUGCAGGAGAAGCUAUCAUGUAACUUACUACAGUAUGAAGCUAUCAGGUAACUUACUACAGUAUGAAGCUAUCAGGUAUGUAGCUGUCAGGUAGGUUACAACACUAUGAAGCUAUCAGGUAACUUACUACAGUAUGAAGCUAUCAUGUUUGACGCUAUUGGGUAACUUACUACAGUAUGAAGCUAUCAGGUAACUUACUACAGUAUGAAGCUGUCAGGUAACUUACUACAGUAUGAAGCUAUCAGGUAACUUACUACAGUAUGAAGCUAUCAGGUAUGAAGCUAUCAGGUAACUUACUACAGUAUGAAGCUAUCAGGUAACUUACUACAGUAUGAAGCUAUCAGGUAACUUACUACAGUAUGAAGCUAUCAGGUAACUUACAACAGUAUGAAGCUAUCAGGUAACUUACAACAGUAUGAAGCUAUCAGGUAACUUACAACAGUAUGAAGCUAUCAGGUAACUUACUACAGUAUGAAGCUAUCAGGUAACUUACUACAGUAUGAAGCUGUCAGGUAACUUACUACAAUAUGAAGCUAUCAGGUAACUUACUGCAGUAUGAAGCUAUCAGGUAUGAAGAUAUCAGGUAACUUACUACAGUAUGAAGCUAUCAGGUAACUUACUACAGUAUGAAGCUAUCAGGUAUGAAGAUAUCAGGUAACUUACUACAGUAUGAAGCUAUCAGGUAACUUACUACAGUAUGAAGCUAGCAUGUAACUUACAACAGUAUAUCUAAAACAAGAAGGGAAUGAAGACAUUAAAUCACAAAGAAUGCGUCCCAAACGGCACCCUCUUAGCUUUAUAGUGCACUACAACUGACCAGAGCCCAAAGUUAGGGCACUAUAUAGGAAAUGGGUGCCAUUUGGGACACAACCUGGCUAUCAAAGAUACUACUAACCCUGUCCUGUAGACAUUGGUUGAUGUUCAAAUCAAUAUGAUUACUCUUUAAAUUCACUUUGUGGAAUAUGGCCAAUAACAAAAUUAUACGCACCCAUAUUUCUGUAAACCGAAAUGAUUGAAACAUACAAUGCCUUCGGAAAGUGUUCAGACCCCUUGACUUUUUCCACAUUUUGUUACGUUACAGCCUUAUUCUAAAAUGUAUUCAAUAGUUUUUUCCCCCUCAUCAAUCUACACACAACACGCC
RNAcentral lists this long non-coding RNA (7466 nucleotides) under Salmo salar (Atlantic salmon). RNAcentral's name for it is "lncRNA (ENSSSAG00000082672.1)". The record is from RNAcentral. Lineage: Eukaryota; Metazoa; Chordata; Actinopteri; Salmoniformes; Salmonidae.